RNAcentral lists this ribosomal RNA (253 nucleotides) under uncultured bacterium. RNAcentral's name for it is "partial 16S ribosomal RNA". It matches the Rfam family "Bacterial small subunit ribosomal RNA", at positions 524 to 776 of the family's 1533-position model. The record is from RNAcentral.
UACGUAGGGCACAAGCGUUGUCCGGAAUUAUUGGGCGUAAAGAGCUCGUGGGCGGCUUGUCGCGUCGGUUGUGAAAGCCCGGGGCUUAACCCCGGGUCUGCAGUCGAUACGGGCAGGCUAGAGUUCGGUAGGGGAGAUCGGAAUUCCUGGUGUAGCGGUGAAAUGCGCAGAUAUCAGGAGGAACACCGGUGACGAAGGCGGAUCUCUGGGCCGAUACUGACGCUGAGGAGCGAAAGCGUGGGGAGCGAACAGG